Molecule: non-coding RNA, 426 nt
Organism: Macaca mulatta (Rhesus monkey)
Lineage: Eukaryota; Metazoa; Chordata; Mammalia; Primates; Cercopithecidae
Source: RefSeq, a predicted model, not a curated record
GUGGGAGGGAGGAAAGGGGGGGGGGGAAGGGAGUCAAACGGCCUGGAUCAGAGAAGAAGUGGUAAUUUAUUUCCUGGCCGCACACUGCGCACCUUUGAGGUGGUGUUGUCUCAACACUGUCCUCGAUCUCCCUCGUUUUUCUCCUUCCCUCCUCCCUCUCUCUUUGUACAGAAAAUGAAGAAAGCUGCUGCAGGCUAGUAGCAGAACACUGCUGAGCUUGGCUGCCUGAAGCUGAUCUAUCAAGGGAAAAGGGAACAUCUCCAAAUCAAGUGCAGAAUAUAAAAAGGCACCGAGCACAGACUCACCAGCAGGUACCAAGCCAAGUUCUGGAGCUGGAAAGGAACAGCUACUCUCCAGGGCUUCAGAAGCCAGGAGGAGAAAUGGUCAAUCAAUACAUAAAUGAAUGACUAAAAUCACUGACUAAAA